This 119-nucleotide ribosomal RNA is filed under the name Parcubacteria bacterium SG8_24. The record is from RNAcentral. Lineage: Bacteria; Candidatus Parcubacteria.
UCUGGUGGCACUUCCUCACUGGCCACACCCGUUCCCAUCCCGAACACGGAAGUUAAGCAGUGUUGGGCCGAUGAUACUUGGGGCCAACCCGCCCCUGGGAAAGUAGGUAGCCGCCAGGA